CUUUCCCCUGUCUAGGCGCGAAUUUCUUUCCCCUUGAAAGCUGUCCUGUAUCUCCUGCUGUCAGGUUCCCAAAGCGCUCCGUUUUCAUUUUUUUCUAUCUGAUGUUGUUGUGACGUGGAACAGGGUCUAACUCCUUGGGGACCUCAUAUUGUUUUGGAGACAAGUGAUGUCAACCGUAAAUCCUUGACAUUGCGUUGACAUCAAAAGCGGUGCAAAUCUUUUGUGUGAGUAGAUCCCAUGCAAAGUCAAUGCACAGACGGGAUUUUUUUCGCCGGGCAGCGCGAA
This is a long non-coding RNA of Cyclopterus lumpus (lumpfish), 285 nucleotides long. RefSeq lists it as uncharacterized. The record is from RefSeq and is a predicted model, not a curated record. The transcript has 3 exons. Lineage: Eukaryota; Metazoa; Chordata; Actinopteri; Perciformes; Cyclopteridae.